GGGGAGGUUUUCGGAUUUAUUGGGCGUAAAGCGCACGCAGGUGGUCUGGUCAGUUCAUGGUGACAGUCACCGGCUCCACUGGUGAAGUACCGGGAACACUGCCAGACUUGAGAGCGAGAGAGGGACAUGGAAUUCCGGGUGGAGUGGUGAAAUGCGUAGAUAUCCGGAAGAACACCGAAGGCGAAGGCAGUGUCCUGGCUCGUAUCUGACGCUCAGGUGCGAAAGCUAGGGGAGCGAACGGGAUUAGAUACCCCGGUAGUCCUAGCCGUAAACGAUGACCACUAGACGUACGGAGGAUCGACCCUCUGUGUGUCGUAGCUAACGCAUGAAGUGGUCCGCCUGGGGAGUACGGUCGCAAGAUUAAAACUCAAAGGAAUUGACGGGGACCCGCACAAGCAGCGGAGCGUGUGGUUUAAUUCGAUGCAACGCGAAGAACCUUACCAGGGUUUGACAUGUCUGUGCACCACCGAGAGAUCGGUGUGCCCGCAAGGGACGCAGACACAGGUGCUGCAUGGCUGUCGUCAGCUCGUGUCGUGAGAUGUUCGGUUAAGUCCGCUAACGAGCGCAACCCUCGCUGUAUGUUACAUGUGUCAUACGGGACCGCCGGUAUUAAGCCGGAGGAAGGUGGGGAUGACGUCAAGUCAGCAUGGCCUUUAUGUCCAGGGCUACACACACGCUACAAUGGGCAGUACAAUGGGUCGCUAAGCCGCGAGGUAGAGCCAAUCCCCAAAGCUGUCCUCAGUUCAGAUCGCAGGCUGCAACCCGCCUGCGUGAAGUCGGAGUUGCUAGUAAAUGCGCGUCAGCUAUAGCGCAUUGAAUACGUUCUCGGGCCUUGUACACACCGCCCGUCACGUCAUGGGAGCUGGUAACACCUGAAGCCGGUAGUCUAACCGCAAGGAGGACGCCGUCGAAAGUGGUGCUGGUGACUGGGACGAAGUCGUAACAAGGUAACC
RNAcentral lists this ribosomal RNA (953 nucleotides) under uncultured bacterium. RNAcentral's name for it is "bacterial SSU rRNA". It matches the Rfam family "Bacterial small subunit ribosomal RNA", at positions 535 to 1501 of the family's 1533-position model. The record is from RNAcentral.